This 300-nucleotide ribosomal RNA is filed under the name Triticum aestivum (bread wheat). RNAcentral describes it as "partial small subunit ribosomal RNA". Lineage: Eukaryota; Viridiplantae; Streptophyta; Magnoliopsida; Poales; Poaceae. The record is from RNAcentral.
AUGGAAGGAGAUGAAAUUGUUCAAGAUCCAGGUGUUGGGCAAGUUGCUAGGAAAUAUAAAACCCUCAUUGACCAGCAAAAAUUUGCUGCUUAUGUAGCAAUGCAUACACUAUGUAUGAGUAGAGGAGGCACUUUUUUGGGAACUGAUAAGCAAGACUUUGCAAAAAAAAUUGGAGUGGGUGUUUGGAAUAUACAAAGAAUUUGGAGGAAAGCAAUGAAGCAAAUUAGCGAAGGUAAAGAGGUGGAUGUUUCUAAUAAAAAAAAGGAAAUUCUAGAAGAAAGCCUAAGGACAUUAAUCUAG